Molecule: ribosomal RNA, 174 nt
Filed under: uncultured bacterium
Lineage: Bacteria
Description: partial 16S ribosomal RNA
Rfam family: Bacterial small subunit ribosomal RNA
Source: RNAcentral
AUGAAGCUGGAUUCGCUAGUAAUCGCGCAUCAGCCACGGCGCGGUGAAUACGUUCCCGGGCCUUGUACACACCGCCCGUCAAGCCAUGGAAGCCGGGGGUGCCUGAAGUGCGCUGCCGCAAAGGAGCGCCCUAGGGUAAAACCGGUGACUGGGGCUAAGUCGUAACAAGGUACC